ACUCUGCAGCAGACGGGGAAGAAAACUCUGGGGCUCCUUCCCUUCGGAUGGAUAGAGAGGGCGGCCGGGCGGCGAGCUGCAAGAAGGAGGUCAGGGUGGGCUUGCGGGAGCUCGGGGGCGACCUGGAGGGAGCGGGAGCCCCCGGCACCGCCCCCGCGCCCCCCCCCCGCCCCCGCCGCACCCCCCGGGGCGGGCGCCGGGCCGCGGUGACCGCCGGCUGGUGCGCUGCCCUCGCCUCCCCCAUUGUUCCUACUGUCUUUUUGCCUUUUGUUAUUUGCACUCGCAUUGUGUUGUUUGUCUCUGAAGCCGCCUCAUGACCAGCAAAGGGAUUUCACCUCGUCCUUGAGAGCAACACGGGGAGCGCGAGCGAGCGGGCGAGCGAGAGACGGGGGGAGAGAGAGGGACACGCGCGCGCACACACACACACACCGGCACACACGCACACACACAGACACACACACACAGAGUGAAAAAGGCGAGCCACCAAAACCCAUCUCCAGUCUCCUCCCGGGGGCCCCCAGCCCGCCUCUGUGCCACUUUGCAUCCCACGCCGGAGGAGGCAUUAACGAGACCGGGCUUUUUAAACGGUCCAAGGUGUAGAGCCAUACUUCAGGAGGAUCCUCAGAAGUUUUGGACAAGCCUCCCCAAAUGUGGCAGGUGCUGUGCUGGCCAUUGGUGACCCAAAGAUGAUGAAAAAUAUGUUCCUGCCCACAAGGAGUUAGCGACCUACUGGGCUUUCCUCUUGCUGAUGACAUGAUUCCUGUUUGAAUCUGUUGACAAGAUUCUGAAAGCUGAACAGAGAAUUCUGGCACUGCACUGGGUAGGAAAAAGCAUUUCAAGAAAUAGAUAAUAUCAAGGACAUCAGGACACCGGGAGUGGGAGAGAUUGGACUGGGAGACUCAGCAGGGAGGAGCACCCAGGUCAUGAAAAUCGAGUUUCUUCUCUUCUCUGCCAUGUACUCUGUGCUGGUGUCCACCUCUAAAAGCUCUUGACACUCUUCAGAGUCAAUCUGUUUGCCAAC
This 1021-nucleotide long non-coding RNA is filed under the name Homo sapiens (human). RNAcentral describes it as "non-protein coding lnc-SOX5-5:4". Lineage: Eukaryota; Metazoa; Chordata; Mammalia; Primates; Hominidae. The record is from RNAcentral.